RNAcentral lists this non-coding RNA (228 nucleotides) under Bacillus methanolicus MGA3. The record is from RNAcentral. Lineage: Bacteria; Bacillati; Bacillota; Bacilli; Caryophanales; Bacillaceae.
AUUUUUAGUUUUUUUUUGUUACACUUAUGUAACUUUUAAUGUACAAGCAAGUGAGUAUUAUAUACCUUCUUUUGCCUGUACACUGUUAAUAUACUAUCUAUCAAUUUUUUUAAAAAGUACGCACUUUAUUAACACAUAGUAUAAAAAGUAUACUAUAAGAAAAAUUUAUCUAUGGGAAAUGUGAUCAAAAACUGGAAAGUUUAAAGGGAAAGAAAUAAAAAUGACGGC